AGACAUGCAGUCGCGCGGAUUGAUGGGAGCUUGCUCCCUGAUAUCAGCGGCGGACGGGUGAGUAACACGUGGGUAACCUGCCUGUAAGACUGGGAUAACUCCGGGAAACCGGGGCUAAUACCGGAUAACUCAUUUCCUCGCAUGAGGAAAUGUUGAAAGAUGGCUUCUGCUAUCACUUACAGAUGGACCCGCGGCGCAUUAGCUAGUUGGUGAGGUAACGGCUCACCAAGGCGACGAUGCGUAGCCGACCUGAGAGGGUGAUCGGCCACACUGGGACUGAGACACGGCCCAAACUCCUACGGGAGGCAGCAGUAGGGAAUCUUCCGCAAUGGACGAAAGUCUGACGGAGCAACGCCGCGUGAGUGAUGAAGGUUUUCGGAUCGUAAAGCUCUGUUGUUAGGGAAGAACAAGUGCCGUUCGAAUAGGGCGGCACCUUGACGGUACCUAACCAGAAAGCCACGGCUAACUACGUGCCAGCAGCCGCGGUAAUACGUAGGUGGCAAGCGUUGUCCGGAAUUAUUGGGCGUAAAGCGCGCGCAGGUGGUUUCUUAAGUCUGAUGUGAAAGCCCACGGCUCAACCGUGGAGGGUCAUUGGAAACUGGGGAACUUGAGUGCAGAAGAGGAAAGUGGAAUUCCAAGUGUAGCGGUGAAAUGCGUAGAUAUUUGGAGGAACACCAGUGGCGAAGGCG
Molecule: ribosomal RNA, 689 nt
Filed under: Rossellomorea vietnamensis
Lineage: Bacteria; Bacillati; Bacillota; Bacilli; Caryophanales; Bacillaceae
Description: bacterial SSU rRNA
Rfam family: Bacterial small subunit ribosomal RNA
Source: RNAcentral